UGCUUGCAAUUUAUGAUGGCGACCGGCGCACGGGUGAGUAACGCGUAUCCAACCUACCCAUUACUAGGGAAUAACCCAGCGAAAGUUGGCCUAAUGCCCUAUGUAGUCGUUUGAUCGCCUGAGAUUUCGACGAAAGAUUUAUCGGUAUUGGAUGGGGAUGCGUCUGAUUAGCUUGUUGGCGGGGUAAAGGCCCACCAAGGCAACGAUCAGUAGGGGUUCUGAGAGGAAGGUCCCCCACAUUGGAACUGAGACACGGUCCAAACUCCUACGGGAGGCAGCAGUGAGGAAUAUUGGUCAAUGGGCGAGAGCCUGAACCAGCCAAGUAGCGUGCAGGAUGACGGCCCUAUGGGUUGUAAACUGCUUUUAUAUGGGAAUAAAGUGAGGGACGUGUCCCUUAUUGCAUGUACCAUACGAAUAAGGACCGGCUAAUUCCGUGCCAGCAGCCGCGGUAAUACGGAAGGUCCAGGCGUUAUCCGGAUUUAUUGGGUUUAAAGGGAGCGUAGGCUGUUUGUUAAGCGUGUUGUGAAAUGUAGGAGCUCAACUUUUAGAUUGCAGCGCGAACUGGCAGACUUGAGUGCGCACAACGUAGGCGGAAUUCAUGGUGUAGCGGUGAAAUGCUUAGAUAUCAUGACGAACUCCGAUUGCGAAGGCAGCUUACGGGAGCGCAACUGACGCUAAAG
This 680-nucleotide ribosomal RNA is filed under the name uncultured bacterium. RNAcentral's name for it is "bacterial SSU rRNA". It matches the Rfam family "Bacterial small subunit ribosomal RNA", at positions 77 to 751 of the family's 1533-position model. The record is from RNAcentral.